UUCGUUUGCAACACAAUGGCAACUAUGCGAGCCAAUUCUAAUUGGCAUCCAUGGCAAUUUGUGGCAUAUCAAUAUCAGCUGAUCAUUAAAACAGUUCAAACAAAGUUCUUAUAAAAUGGAAGAAAAAAAAACGUUCGCGGAUAAAUGGAACUUUUCGUUGGACAGAACGACAAACUAAAGAUUUACUCAACAUUAUCGUGGAAAAUGUAAAAGCUAAUCCGGAACAGUUCGAGGUAAUAUGUUUGCUAUUUCCAAUAAGAGGGUAUUUAACAUUUAGUGAACUUACAUAUGUAUU
Molecule: long non-coding RNA, 295 nt
Organism: Bactrocera dorsalis (oriental fruit fly)
Lineage: Eukaryota; Metazoa; Arthropoda; Insecta; Diptera; Tephritidae
Exons: 2
Source: RefSeq, a predicted model, not a curated record